This 588-nucleotide ribosomal RNA is filed under the name Lysobacteraceae bacterium BvIRR070. RNAcentral's name for it is "bacterial SSU rRNA". It matches the Rfam family "Bacterial small subunit ribosomal RNA", at positions 102 to 686 of the family's 1533-position model. Lineage: Bacteria; Pseudomonadati; Pseudomonadota; Gammaproteobacteria; Lysobacterales; Lysobacteraceae. The record is from RNAcentral.
ACGGGUGAGGAAUGCAUCGGAAUCUACCCUGUCGUGGGGGAUAACGUAGGGAAACUUACGCUAAUACCGCAUACGACCGAGAGGUGAAAGUGGGGGACCGCAAGGCCUCACGCGAUUGGAUGAGCCGAUGCCGGAUUAGCUAGUUGGUGGGGUAAAGGCCUACCAAGGCGACGAUCCGUAGCUGGUCUGAGAGGAUGAUCAGCCACACUGGGACUGAGACACGGCCCAGACUCCUACGGGAGGCAGCAGUGGGGAAUAUUGGACAAUGGGCGCAAGCCUGAUCCAGCCAUGCCGCGUGUGUGAAGAAGGCCUUCGGGUUGUAAAGCACUUUUGUUCGGGAAGAAAUCGUGCGGGCUAAUACCCAGUACGGAUGACGGUACCGAAAGAAUAAGCACCGGCUAACUUCGUGCCAGCAGCCGCGGUAAUACGAAGGGUGCAAGCGUUACUCGGAAUCACUGGGCGUAAAGCGUGCGUAGGCGGUUGAUUAAGUCUGCUGUGAAAGCCCUGGGCUCAACCUGGGAACUGCAGUGGAUACUGGUCAGCUAGAGUGUGAUAGAGGAUGGUGGAAUUCCCGGUGUAGCGGUGAAA